AUGAAAGGUUGUUUUCCUUCCCUCUUCUAUGGAAUUACUUUUGUGCCUUUUUAAUAUCAAACAAACCUUUUGAAUUCGUGAAUUAAAUUCUUAAUGCAAACAAAAAAUGAUACUGAAAGCAAAACAUUAACCCACAAGUGUUGAGGUCGAAUAAAUAACAAAGCAAGGAAAUCAUUUUGAAAGGCAAGAACAAAUACAUUGUAAAUGAAUGCGGGAAAAAAUGGUUUUCAUUUAAACAUUUUCAAUGAUUGCAAAGAAACGCUUCCCUCUUUGUCUGCAACAUUUUCUUUCUUUGGUUACGUUACCCUGCCCGCCCUUCGUUUUAGCUGCCUUUUUUGGGGGUUUAAAAGGAAGCGUAGAAGAUGCGUCUCUAUUGGUCAACUGGUUUUGGAAUGAUAGGUCAUGCUUGAUUUUUUUUCACUAUUUUUUAAACUUAUUUAACUUUUCCAUUUUGGAUAAAAAGGUCUCAGUGGCUACUAGAUAGCUAGACAGGGUAAAUGUACGACAAGAAGAGCAUCGGAAAACAUCCUAGAUGCCCAAUUGAGAGCAUCCUGUCGGGCUGUAACGCAGGGAUCUCCAGAGGGUGGUGCGGUCUGCACAAUGCAUCACCGGGGGCAAACUACCUGCCCUUCAGGACACUGACAGCACCCGAGGUCACAGGGAGGCCAAAAAGAUCAUCAAGGACAACAUCCAGCCGAUCCACUGCCUGUUCACCCCACUACCAUCCAGAAGGCGUGGUCAGUACAGGUGCAUCAAAGCUGGGACCAAGAGACUGGAAAAACAGCUUCUGUCUCAAGGCCAUCAGCCUGUUAAAUAGCCAUCACAAACACCUAGAGGCUGCUGCCUACAUACAGACUUGAAAUCAUGGGCCACUCUAAAUGGAUCACUAAUCACUUUAUUAAUUCCACUUUAAAAAUGAUGUUUACAUAUCUUGCAUUACUCAUCCCAUAAGUAUAUACUGUAUUUUAUACCAUCUAUUGCAUCUUGCCUAUGCUGCUCAGUCAUUGCUCACCCAUAUAAACUCAAUAGAAACAUCUUCUCACUGUCAACUGCGUUUAUUUUCAGCAAACUUAAAAUAUAAAAAAUAUUUGUAUUUAUAAUAUUAAUAUUUAUAAGAUUCAACAACUGAACAAGUUCCACAGACAUGUGACUAACAAAUAUUGAAUGUGUCCCUGAACAAAGGGGGGAGGGGGGUCAAAAUCAAAACUAACAGUCAGUAUCUGGUGUGGCCACCAAGCUGCAUUAAGUACUGCAGUGCAUCUACCCCUCAUGGACUGCACCAGAUUUGCCAGGUCUUGCUGUGAGAUGUUACCCCACUCUUCCACCAAGGCACCUGCAAGUUCCUGGACAUUUCUGGGGGGAAUGGCCUUAUCCCUCACCCUCUGAUCCAACAGGUCCCAGACGUGCUCAAUGAGACCCGGGCUCUUCGCUGGCCAUGUCAAAACACUGACAUUCCUGUCUUGCAGGAAUUCACACACAGAACAAGCAGUAUGGCUGGUGGCAUUGUCAUUCUGGAGGGUCAUGUCAGGAUGAGCCUGCAGGAAGGGUACCACAUGAGGGAGGAGGAUGUAUUCCUUGUAACGCACAGCGUUGAUUGCCUGCAAUGACAACAAGCUCAGUCCGAUGAUGCUGUGACACACCGCCCCAGACCAUGACUGACCAAUCGUUCCAGCUCCAGAGUACAGGCCUCGGUGUAACGCUCAUUCCUUCAUCGAUAAACGCGAAUCCGACAUUCACCCCCGGUGAGACAAAACCGCGACUCAUCAGUGAAGAGCCCUUUUUCUCAGUCCUGUCUGGUCCAGCGACAGUGGGUUUGUGCUCAUAGGUGACAUUGUUGCCGGUGAUGUCUGGUGAGGACCUGCCUUACAACAGGCCAACAAGCCCUCAGUCCAGCCUCUCUCAGCCUAUUGCGGACAGUCUGCGCACUGAUGGAUGGAUUGUGCGUUCCUGGUGUAACUUUGGCAGUUGUUGCCAUCCUGUACCUGUCCCGCAGGUGUGUGAUGUUCGGAUGUACCGAUCCUGUGCAGGUGUUGUUACACGUGGUCUGCCGCUAUGAGGACAGACAGCUGUCCAUCCUAUCUCCCUGUAGCUCUGUCUUACAAGCUGACUAGACCUCUCGCAUCACGUGUGCGAGCGUUGCAAAAUAAAUUUAGAAAUCUAUAUUAUUCAAUUAUUUCACCCACACUGCUCGCGCGCUCCAAUGAGCGUCUGCGUUGCCAAGGGCUAAAAUAGAAGUCAGUUCUGUUUCUGACACAGAUCGCGCUGCAAGUCCUGCCUCUCCCAUCUCCUCGUUGGUUUAUAGAAGCAGGUACCCACGUGCCAUCUCCUCAUUGGUUAUACCCACGUGGGUGACUGAAAGACGAACGAGGUCGGUGGCGGUAAUGCACUUAAUUUAUGAAUGUUUCCAAUUGCAAUAUCAAGUCAAGAGAAGAAAAAGCCUGGAAGGAAGAGAGAUGACUAGAAACGAUUUGGUUGACCAUUUUAUGUGUGGAUUAAUUGUCGGAGUAGAGGACCUUGUGCAUUUCAGGUAAAAUAACAACUCAAUGUUUAUAUCCCAGGACAAAUUAGCUAACAACAACAGCAAGCUAGCUAAAUAGGACAAAUUAGCUACCAAGUGCAAGCUAGCUAGCUAAAUUUCCAUAAAGGUUUAAUGCUUUUCGACCUGUCCCCAAAUUAAUGUAAUUGGUUCAGAGUUUGUUUUGAUAUUUUAACUUGCGCAUCGCGAUUGCGUUUGGUGUGGGGAGGACAAAAUAAAUGUAUGCACGAUGACGAAGCAGGUUUGAGUUCCUUGUUAGGUAUCUCACAGUACGAACAUUGCAAUUUUCCCUGGCCAGAUCUACAGUCCUCAUGCCUCCAUGCAGCAUGCCUAAGGCACGUUCACGCAGAUGAGCAGGGACCCUGGGCAUCUUUCUUUUGGUGUUUUUCAGAGUCGGUAGAAAGGCCUCUUUAGUUUUCUAAGUCUUCAUAACUGUGACCUUAAUUGCCUACCGUCUGUAAGCUGUUAGUGUCUUAACGACCGUUCCACAGGGGCAUGUUCAUUAAUUGUUUAUGGUUGAACAAGCAUGGGAAACCGUGUUUAAACCCUUUACAAUGAAGAUCUGUAAAGUUAUUUGCAUUUUUACUAAUUAUCUUUGAAGGACAGGGUCCUGAAAAAGGGAUGUUUAUUUUUUUUGCUGAGUUUAUUUAUAUGUAUAUAUUCUUUUUCCUUAGAUUUGUGUGUAUUAGGUAGUUGUGGAAUUGGUAGAUAUUGCUGCACUGUCAGAACUAGAAGCACAAGCGUUUCGCCACACUCGCAAUGACAUGUGUAUGUGACUAAUAAAAUUUGAUUUGAUUUAGCACUGAGAUGCAGUGCCUUAGACCGCUGCGCCACUCGGGAGCCUGACAGAAGCGGUUGUGGCUGAUGACCUGUCUCCAUAGCUGAGAGAAGCCAAGGAGGAAUAUCACUUCAUUCCCAACAAUACUGCUAAUAUUUCUAACUGUACCGAUGAGAAAGAGUAGGGCAGACUUAUACAAUUACAAUACAGAAAUGUUCUUGCUCUUUAGUGAAGUUCUGCCAAUCAUAUGUUGGAAACCAUUUAUCAAGGAAAACGAGUUGAACACUUUGUGGAAAUUGUCAUCUGUUUCUUGAACACCAGUGUUUCAUCUAAGGACAAUAAUAACUAUUACCUGUAUCAAAAUUAACAAUAAGGGGUAUAUCCUUAAUAAAAUAAUUGAUGGGUAAUUGUGUAUGGACAUGACAA
Molecule: long non-coding RNA, 3740 nt
Organism: Oncorhynchus tshawytscha (Chinook salmon)
Lineage: Eukaryota; Metazoa; Chordata; Actinopteri; Salmoniformes; Salmonidae
Source: Ensembl